This 74-nucleotide transfer RNA is filed under the name Candidatus Zambryskibacteria bacterium CG_4_9_14_3_um_filter_42_15. RNAcentral describes it as "tRNA-Trp". It matches the Rfam family "tRNA". From Rfam's summary of the family: Transfer RNA (tRNA) molecules are approximately 80 nucleotides in length. Their secondary structure includes four short double-helical elements and three loops (D, anti-codon, and T loops). The record is from RNAcentral. RNAcentral also lists the same sequence under 1 other name. Lineage: Bacteria; Candidatus Zambryskiibacteriota.
GGGCGAUUAGUUAAGUGGCAUAACUGCGGCCUCCAAAUCCGCUGUCGGGGGUUCGAUUCCCUCAUCGCCCGCCU